CAUAAGCAUAAUCCCUAGCACACUUUCAAGCACCGCAGUAUUUCUCUAACAGUCUUCAGAUUUGUUGAUGUGACUGCAUGCAUACUUCUGUGUGGUAUCUGUUCAUUCAAGCUGGAAAUUUGUGGAUUACUGUGAUAAAUGGUUCUCUAGGUUUUGUUUCUAGUCAUGUUUAGAUUUGGCUUUGGACCUGCUGUGCUCAGUCUAUGACAGGGUAAGAAGGAGCAUUUCAUAGCAUUCUGAGGAACUAUCCAUGCUGUCCUUUUCUCCCUUGGAGGCAAUCUACAUUUCAAGAUUUUGGCAACAAAAGGUAUUAUCAGUUUCAUUCCCAAUGUGUUAUUUUAUACUAUUUGAAUAUUCGUGUUUAAGAUCAAUUUCAUUUUCUGAUACAUUUAUAUUUGGAUUUUACUGCAGAUGUAACUAGUUUGUGUAUAUCUAACUCAUGCAGUAUGCACAUGGCCCUCUGAAGCUAUGACAAAAGAGAUCAUUAGAGUCCAAAGCCUGCGAAAACUUCAUGCGAUUGUCAGACCUUCAACAGAGGCUUUUGUUCCUCUUCCCUCCUCUGCCAUGUCAUUUUUGUCCAUAGAAUUCUACAUUUCCAGUGCUAUGUCCAG
RNAcentral lists this long non-coding RNA (611 nucleotides) under Gallus gallus (chicken). Lineage: Eukaryota; Metazoa; Chordata; Aves; Galliformes; Phasianidae. The record is from RNAcentral.